CGCGGCCUAUCAGCUUGUUGGUGAGGUAACGGCUCACCAAGGCCACGACGGGUAGCUGGUCUGAGAGGACGAUCAGCCACGCUGGGACUGAGACACGGCCCAGACUUCUACGGGAGGCAGCAGUAGGGAAUCUUGCGCAAUGGGCGAAAGCCUGACGCAGCAACGCCGCGUGGGGGAUGACGGCUUUCGGGUUGUAAACCCCUUUCAGCAGGGACGAAACUGACGGUACCUGCAGAAGAAGCCCCGGCCAACUACGUGCCAGCAGCCGCGGUAACACGUAGGGGGCAAGCGUUGUCCGGAAUUAUUGGGCGUAAAGAGCUCGUAGGUGGUUCGGUAAGUCAGGUGUGAAAGGCUGGGGCUCAACCCUAGGACCGCACCUGAUACUGCUGUGACUCGAGUCCGGUAGAGGAGUGUGGAAUUCCUGGUGUAGCGGUGAAAUGCGCAGAUAUCAGGAGGAACACCAGCGGCGAAGGCGGCACUCUGGGCCGGUACUGACACUGAGGAGCGAAAGCGUGGGGAGCAAACAGGAUUAGAUACCCUGGUAGUCCACGCCGUAAACGUUGGGCACUAGGUGUGGGGUCUUAUCAACGGAUUCCGCGCCGUAGCUAACGCAUUAAGUGCCCCGCCUGGGGAGUACGG
This 639-nucleotide ribosomal RNA is filed under the name uncultured bacterium. RNAcentral's name for it is "bacterial SSU rRNA". It matches the Rfam family "Bacterial small subunit ribosomal RNA", at positions 232 to 885 of the family's 1533-position model. The record is from RNAcentral.